UGGGGAAUAUUGCACAAUGGGGGAAACCCUGAUGCAGCCAUGCCGCGUGUAUGAAGAAGGCCUUCGGGUUGUAAAGUACUUUCAGUUGUGAGGAAGGCAGUUAAGUUAAUAGCUUAGGUGUUUGACGUUAGCAACAGAAGAAGCACCGGCUAACUCCGUGCCAGCAGCCGCGGUAAUACGGAGGGUGCGAGCGUUAAUCGGAAUUACUGGGCGUAAAGCGCAUGCAGGCGGUCUGUUAAGCAAGAUGUGAAAGCCCGGGGCUCAACCUCGGAACAGCAUUUUGAACUGGCAGACUAGAGUCUUGUAGAGGGGGGUAGAAUUUCAGGUGUAGCGGUGAAAUGCGUAGAGAUCUGAAGGAAUACCGGUGGCGAAGGCGGCCCCCUGGACAAAGACUGACGCUCAGAUGCGAAAGCGUGGGGAGCAAACAGG
Molecule: ribosomal RNA, 429 nt
Filed under: uncultured bacterium
Lineage: Bacteria
Description: bacterial SSU rRNA
Rfam family: Bacterial small subunit ribosomal RNA
Source: RNAcentral